CGCAGAAUUCUUGAUUCAUUCUUUCGUCCUCGUAAAUCCAAAAUGUCUGGAAGAGAAGGUGGUAAGAAAAAGCCUCUGAAAGCUCCAAAAAAGCAGAAAGGUGAAGAGGACGAGGAAGAUGCUAAAUUCAAGCAAAAACAGAAAGAAGAAAAGAAAGCUUUAGAAGAAGCCAAGGCAAAAGCUGCCAAGAAAGGACCUUUAGUUGGUGGAGGAAUCAAGAAAUCUGGGAAGAAAUGACACCAUGAACAGUCUUCCUGAAAAAUGAACUAUCUUUUCUCCUGAACAUAUUGAAUAUGUUUACAUUGCAAACUUUACCUAGGAGGAAUCACUUCCUUUUUUUAAAGAUUCCUUGAUUUUAGAUCUUUUCUCAUUGUCAACCAGCUGUUCUCAAGUCAUGAACUAAUAAAAAAGUAACUUAUUUUUAA
Long non-coding RNA from Actinia tenebrosa (Australian red waratah sea anemone), 425 nucleotides. The record is from RefSeq and is a predicted model, not a curated record. Lineage: Eukaryota; Metazoa; Cnidaria; Anthozoa; Actiniaria; Actiniidae.